AGUAUUUCGUCAGCGCCCUCAAGCCGCUAGCAAGAAGCAAGCGAACUGUCUGGCUCGAUGCCGUUGCAAUCAAUUCCUGAAAGGUGCGGCUGUUCUGGGUGAAGCAGAGGUUAAAGCCAGAGCUGGUGAGAGCAGAGUCUGAGGUAAACGUGACGAGGAUGUAAUUGCUCAGGAUUGUGUACUCUGUGUCCGCAGCGAUGGAUCCGGAUAACCUGAGUCGCCGAAGCGGAUGAUACGCACUUCCAUCCUCCGCUCAGCACCACAUACAAGUCGCUCAAAAUCUGCAGAGACCAGCCACCUUCCCCAAACUCACGUUUCUCUCGCAUUCCUCCGAGACGUGGAGGUCCUGCCCCGCGGAGGACGCUACUCCCACGAAGGACUCGCAGCGGCUCCUGUGCCUCCGGAGGCGCAGGUGAGGGCCGUCGUAGCUCGGGCUGACCUCCCUGAAGUUGACGCAGGUGCUCUCGCUCCAGCGGCGGGCAGCCUGUCGCACAGCCUGGCGGUCCACCAGGUCUGGAGGAGCAGAAACAGAAUCAAAUGUCGGAGAAUCAAACGUAAUGUUCAGAGAGUUCGCUUUGAUAUUAAAACCCCAACAGUUGAGAA
Molecule: long non-coding RNA, 603 nt
Organism: Penaeus monodon (black tiger shrimp)
Lineage: Eukaryota; Metazoa; Arthropoda; Malacostraca; Decapoda; Penaeidae
Exons: 3
Source: RefSeq, a predicted model, not a curated record